Molecule: transfer RNA, 84 nt
Filed under: Klebsiella phage vB_KpnM_Seu621
Lineage: Duplodnaviria; Heunggongvirae; Uroviricota; Caudoviricetes
Also listed under: 5 other names
Description: tRNA-Tyr
Rfam family: tRNA
About the family: Transfer RNA (tRNA) molecules are approximately 80 nucleotides in length. Their secondary structure includes four short double-helical elements and three loops (D, anti-codon, and T loops). Further hydrogen bonds mediate the characteristic L-shaped molecular structure. tRNAs have two regions of fundamental functional importance: the anti-codon, which is responsible for specific mRNA codon recognition, and the 3' end, to which the tRNAs corresponding amino acid is attached (by aminoacyl-tRNA synthetases). tRNAs cope with the degeneracy of the genetic code in two manners: having more than one tRNA (with a specific anti-codon) for a particular amino acid; and 'wobble' base-pairing, i.e. permitting non-standard base-pairing at the 3rd anti-codon position.
Source: RNAcentral
GGCUCGUUGGCAGAAUGGCUAUUGCAGCGGAUUGUAAAUCCGUGCCCUUCGGGGUUCCUGGUUCGAGUCCAGGGUGGGCCACCA